Molecule: ribosomal RNA, 1278 nt
Filed under: Ochthebius quadricollis
Lineage: Eukaryota; Metazoa; Arthropoda; Insecta; Coleoptera; Hydraenidae
Description: 16S ribosomal RNA
Rfam family: Archaeal large subunit ribosomal RNA (bases 1038-1196)
Source: RNAcentral
AUUAAAUUAAUUAUUUAUAUAUUUAUUAAAUAAAAUAUUAUUUAUUUUUAUUAUUAAAAAAGAAAAAAUUAAUUUAAAUUAUAGUUAAAAGUAUUGUGAAAGAAAUUUGAAAUAAUUGAAAAGUUAAAUUUUUAAAAGAAUAAUUUAAUUUUAGUACCUUGUGUAUCAGGGUUUAUUAAAAAUUUUUUAUAUAAUUUAAAUUUCUCGAUUUUAAAAGAGUUAAAUAUUUAUUUUUUUUAAUGUUAAAUAAUUAUUAUAAAUAAAUAUUUAGUAAUGAAACGUUAUUCGUUUUUAAAUAUAUCUAGUUUCUUAAGAAAUAAAUUUAAUUUAUUUAUUAAUAAAAAUAAUUUUUAUUUAAAAAUUUUAUUUUAUUAAUAUUAAAUAUUUUAAGGGAUAAGCUUUAAAAUAAAUUUAUAUAAUAUUUAAAUUUAUAAAUUAAUAGUAGGAUUAAAAAUUUCUUUCAUUAAUAAUUUGUUAUAAUUAAUUUUUUAUUUAUAUUUUUUAUAUAAUAUUUAUAUUUUUUAUUAAGAUUAUUUAAUAAAUUUUAUUUUAAAUGUAAUAAUGAUAAAAUUAGUAUAAUUUAUUGUAUAAUUUUUUAAUUAUAUAAGGUUAAAUUAAGGAAUUCGGCAAAAUAAUUUUUCGCCUGUUUAAUAAAAACAUGUCUUUUUGAUUAUAAUUUAAAGUCUAACCUGCCCAAUGAAAAUUAAAUGGCCGCGGUAUUUUGACCGUGCAAAGGUAGCAUAAUCAUUAGUUUUUUAAUUAAAAGCUGGAAUGAAUGGUUGGACGAGAAAAUUACUGUCUCAAUUUAAUUUUAUUAGAAUUUUAUUUUUAAGUUAAAAAGCUUAAAUAAAUUUAAAAGACGAGAAGACCCUAUAGAGUUUAAUAUUAUAUAAAAUUUUAAUUUUUAUAAAUUUUUUAAUUUUUUAUAAUAUUUUAUUGGGGUGAUAAAUAAAUUUAUAAAACUUUAUUUUAUUUUUAACAUAAAUUAAUGAUUUAUUGAUCCAUUAUUAAUGAUUAUAAGAUUAAAUUACCUUAGGGAUAACAGCGUAAUUUUUUUAGAGAGUUCAAAUCGAAAAAAAAGAUUGCGACCUCGAUGUUGGAUUAAAGUAAAUUUUUGGUGUAGAAGCUAAAAUAUUAAGUCUGUUCGACUUUUAAAACUUUACAUGAUCUGAGUUUAAACCGGCGUGAGCCAGGUUGGUUUCUAUCUUUAAAUAAAUAAAAUAUUUUAGUACGAAAGGACCAAAUAUUUAUAAUAAUUAUUUUUUUUUGAAUAUUAAU